UCAAGUGCUUCCAGAAAUCGGGAUUUGAAAAUAUUAUAGUCUUUACUGUAAAAUGUAAACAAUAUAGCAGCUAUUACGUUAUAUAAAUAACGUGUCAAACCAAACAUCAAUGACAAGAUAUUUAAAUAAAACCACUGUUGUUGGAGGAGGGAGAAAUAAGUUAGCUAAUCUUACAGGAAACAAUGUUAGCAUAGCUACAUGAAGCUAGCAGGACAAGGGACUGCCGAAACGACAGCCGCCCGCAUGGAUGUAUUUUAGCCGCCGCCAUCACGCCCGCAACAAUUCUGCUUCUGUUUUCUCACUGGGCAGCAGAAACAAAAUAAAAACGGGAACUGUCACAUACUUCUUCCGUCAGGGGUGUAAAUGUGGCACUUAUUAAUUCCCUCCUACACUGACAAACUCGAACGACAUCUUGGAGUGUGCGGAGAGACAAACUGGAUUACAAUUACAACGCGUCUUCGGUCAUCAAUGAACAAUUCAAUAUUGGGAUUGAAUCAUCUCCACUUCCCGUCUCACCCUUAACACCCUAAGCAGAUAGGCUGUCGUUCCUUUCCAGCAGCAGACAGCUGAUUCGGUCAAGGACUUCAGCUUGGAGAGCCAAUUCCUCCAGCAGGUCCCUCCUCGAUGGGCUGAAGUCGGUUGUUCUUAUCAUCUGAGGAAACGCGUAUUUGUUAGAUUUCGACAAGCGAUUUUUGAGGGUGGAGAGAGACAAGGAGCAGCAAGACACAAAAGAUGUAAACACUGAUCCAAAAAACCUGAUUAAUGUGGACAUAGCUCAUAGAAACAUACUGUACCUGGAGCAGGAUGCAACAAAUAUCCAGGUGAGUCUCAAGAGCCUGGUCAACACCCCAAUUCCCAGAAGUCAGGGGGGUUACAACCAACUCCUCCUCUGAAGUUGAUUGGCUGAUUUGGGAGAGGAGGCCGAGACUCUUUACGGUGCUCUGCUGCAAAGAACUGAUGCUAAUGGAUGAAGACGAAAAGGAGAGGCUGCCCAAACAGGAAGUGUCAUCAUCUGCAGUGAAGUCAUGAGAGAGGAAGUCAAAGCUGCCCAGUACUUCCUCCACAGCCAGAGUCUCCUCUGAUGAUGAGCUUCUCAGCAGGGAAAGGUCGUUCUAGAUCUCCAGGGACCCUUCCUCCCCGAGGGACAGCUGAGUCUGGCUUCCUCCCAGACUGGUGCCCUGGCUGUGGCUGGAGGGGUAGCUGUGAGGCCUUAGCGGACUGUGGUUUGAGGUGAUGGCGGUGUGGGACGGGUUGGACAGGUAGCUGAGCAGGGACACGCCGCCUCUGUCAUGUCGACUUUUAGACACCAGCGACGGGAGGGAACCCUCUGGAUCCUGCAGCUCACGCAUCAUCGACUGGAGAGGACAGGAGCAGCAUAUCACUAAUGCUGUGUCGACUAGCCAGACUGUGGAGGAAGGUCUGGCAAUGUGAGACUAGGGAACAGGAGGGGGUGCUCGGUGCCGUCCAGCUGUAAACUGAACUCUUCCUGCUGGACACCGACUGCCUGCUGACAGACAGCGGCCUCACCUUCUCCGUGCUGUCAAACGGACUGCAGUAUACUUGUGGGGUCCAGACAGCUUUGUGGGGCCAAAAUGCUGGACCCCACAACAUUAAAGGGCUGUUUCAGGGUUAAAACUUGGUUUUAGGGUUAGAAUUAGGUUAUGGUUAGGGUGAGGGCAAGGUUUAAGGUUAGGUAUUU
Long non-coding RNA from Perca flavescens (yellow perch), 1699 nucleotides. RefSeq lists it as uncharacterized. Lineage: Eukaryota; Metazoa; Chordata; Actinopteri; Perciformes; Percidae. The transcript has 8 exons. The record is from RefSeq and is a predicted model, not a curated record.